Molecule: small nuclear RNA, 164 nt
Organism: Echinops telfairi (small Madagascar hedgehog)
Lineage: Eukaryota; Metazoa; Chordata; Mammalia; Afrosoricida; Tenrecidae
Gene: U1
Rfam family: U1 spliceosomal RNA
About the family: U1 is a small nuclear RNA (snRNA) component of the spliceosome (involved in pre-mRNA splicing). Its 5' end forms complementary base pairs with the 5' splice junction, thus defining the 5' donor site of an intron.
Source: Ensembl
AUGUAUACUUGGCAGGGAAGAUACCAUGGUUGCAAAGAUGGUUUUCCCAGGGCGAGGCUUAUCCAUUGCACUCCAGAUGUGCUGACCCCUGCGAUUUCCCCAAAUGUGGGAAACUCGACUGCAUAAUAUGUGGUAGUGGUGGACUGUGUUUGUGCUCUCCCCUG